UCUCCUGUAGCUCAGUGGUGGAGAGUCGAACCGGUGUGCGGAAGGUCAUAAGUUUGAUUCCUGUUGGGAGAA
Molecule: non-coding RNA, 72 nt
Organism: Desmophyllum pertusum
Lineage: Eukaryota; Metazoa; Cnidaria; Anthozoa; Scleractinia; Caryophylliidae
Source: the annotation of a GenBank genome assembly